GAGUCUUGGCCUUCUUCUACAGCUUUCUUCCCACGAAAGACAGUCUUCAAAUUGUUCACAAGGAUAUUUAUAUAUCGGUCAAAAGAUGUCUUUUUAAUGCAACUUUCAGAAUGAUCGAAGCUAACUUCGAAUGCUUCUAGGGCAAAAUAUUUCAAACGGUGGUCAAUUACGUCUACCACUUUAUUCAUUGCCCGCAUAUCACCCGAAUCUCCUCCAUUGGAGACAUACUCCUCCCAUAAUCUCAACAUAGUCCACAAAUUUUCCUCUGCACCCUUGCUAUCUUCCCAC
Molecule: long non-coding RNA, 288 nt
Filed under: Salvia miltiorrhiza (redroot sage)
Lineage: Eukaryota; Viridiplantae; Streptophyta; Magnoliopsida; Lamiales; Lamiaceae
Description: long non-coding RNA (SMIL_LNC012439)
Source: RNAcentral